UCCCUGGUGGUCCAGUGAUUAGGACUCUGCACUUUCACUGCCAUGGGCCUGGGUUCAACCCCUAGUCAGGGAA
This is a non-coding RNA of Budorcas taxicolor (takin), 73 nucleotides long. The record is from the annotation of a RefSeq genome assembly. Lineage: Eukaryota; Metazoa; Chordata; Mammalia; Artiodactyla; Bovidae.